CAACACAAAAUUUGGAAUACAUCACUUCUCCAACAAACUUUGCACCAGCCGGAAGCGCCAAAAAUCAAAAUUUUAUUCAAAACCGCGCUUUUGGUUUCAGUUUUUGAUCUCCUUAUCAAAAACUGCUCUGCCUUCACAGAGACCCCUUUUGGUUUUAGUUUAUAGAGAGCCCUCACCCGAUCACUCACAUUGUUUUGCCUCCUACCUGUGAUCGUCACCGAUCUUUCAGGUCGCACUCCUGCCAGCUUCUGACCUCGCAACUCAGGCGACCACCACCCUCUCUCGUGCUUCGCGCUCACAGGUUACAGAGCCCUAACUCGAUCACACUGCUCUGCCUCUGCCUAUGGCUGCCUCUGACCCUACGGUCUCAGAUCUUGCACCCUCGCUAGCCUCCGACCUUGCACCUCAGGCAAUUUCUACCCUCGUGGUUUGCACUCACAGGUCAUAGCUCUCACCCACUCACACUGUUCUGCCUCUGCAUGUGGCCGUCUCCUUCGGUCUCGGACCUCGCACCCCCGCUAGCCUUCGACCCUUGCCACUUUGCAUCUUUGUGCGUCCUCUGCCAAGUCUCAAUUUUUUGUGCUACUUGGUGAUUCAUUCUUCCGUGAGAAGGAGUAUCAUAGAGCUAUUCAUAGCUACAAGCAAGCUUUGCAGUACAACAAGAUGGUCCUCAAAUAGAAUGUGCAACUGUCUCGUAGUUCAAUACCAUCAAACAGGUCACCGUCUCCAAAUUCUUGCAAUGCAUCAGGAAUCAACGAGAAUGAGGUGAGGCAGGGUGCAAUGCAUCAUAUAUGAAUCGUCAUAUUAUUUUCUAGACCUUAUAUACCUUAUUAGUGUCCAAAAAUUGGUUUAAACUGGACCUUAUAUACUUUAUUAGAUUAUUCCUCUAGUGGCAUAAUAUGUAUAUGGUGAAAGAAUUUUUUCUAUGUGAUAUUUUGUUCGUGGAUCUAGAUGGGUGGUUUUGAAAGGGCGUUGAUUGGUCAUAUACUCAUUUAUAAGCAUCAGUGGCAUUUGGAACGAACGGAGAGGAGGGUGAUUUGCAAGAGUAAAGAGACUAUAAAGAAGAAUGUCAGGUUCUAAAAAAAAUAGAAAACACUUGUCAAUUAAAGGAGCAAGAAAUGACCAAUAAAGAGCAAAAGGUUAAGUUGGAUGAUACUGAACACAAGUUAAAAGAUUAAGGACAUCAACAAAAAGUUCAACAGAAAAAAAUUAGUUCUACUAAAAAGACACUUCAUGCUUUAUACAAAAAGUUGAAUCUCCCACUUUCUUCAACCUCGUCUCUUCCUGUGGAAGAUGAGCUUGAGACAAGCUUUAAUAAUAGCAUGAGUGAUUGAUGUCUAGAGUAUAUAUUUUUUCUAAAUUAGAUUAAGGAAUUUUUAUGUGAAUUAGUUAGUACAUUUUAAUUUAUUCAUGAUUUGUGACCUUUUUAAAGGCU
Arachis ipaensis is the source of this 1435-nucleotide non-coding RNA. The record is from RefSeq and is a predicted model, not a curated record. Lineage: Eukaryota; Viridiplantae; Streptophyta; Magnoliopsida; Fabales; Fabaceae.